This 738-nucleotide ribosomal RNA is filed under the name uncultured bacterium. RNAcentral's name for it is "bacterial SSU rRNA". It matches the Rfam family "Bacterial small subunit ribosomal RNA", at positions 49 to 768 of the family's 1533-position model. The record is from RNAcentral.
CUAUACAUGCAGUCGAGCGAAUGACGAAGAAGCUUGCUUCUUCUGAUUUAGCGGCGGACGGGUGAGUAACACGUGGGCAACCUGCCCUGUAGAUUGGGAUAACUCCGGGAAACCGGGGCUAAUACCGAAUAAUCCAUUUCCUCACAUGGGGAGAUGUUAAAAGACGGCAUCUCGCUGUCACUACAGGAUGGGCCCGCGGCGCAUUAGCUAGUUGGUGAGGUAACGGCUCACCAAGGCGACGAUGCGUAGCCGACCUGAGAGGAUGAUCGGCCACACUGGGACUGAGACACGGCCCAGACUCCUACGGGAGGCAGCAGUAGGGAAUCUUCCACAAUGGACGAAAGUCUGAUGGAGCAAUGCCGCGUGAGUGAAGAAGGUUUUCGGAUCGUAAAACUCUGUUGUGAGGGAAGAACAAGUACGAGAGUAACUGCUCGUACCUUGACGGUACCUCAUUAGAAAGCCACGGCUAACUACGUGCCAGCAGCCGCGGUAAUACGUAGGUGGCAAGCGUUGUCCGGAAUUAUUGGGCGUAAAGCGCGCGCAGGCGGUCCUUUAAGUCUGAUGUGAAAUCCCACGGCUCAACCGUGGAAGGUCAUUGGAAACUGGGGGACUUGAGUACAGAAGAGGAAAGCGGAAUUCCAAGUGUAGCGGUGAAAUGCGUAGAGAUUUGGAGGAACACCAGUGGCGAAGGCGGCUUUCUGGUCUGUAACUGACGCUGAGGCGCGAAAGCGUGGGGAG